RNAcentral lists this ribosomal RNA (497 nucleotides) under uncultured bacterium. RNAcentral's name for it is "partial 16S ribosomal RNA". It matches the Rfam family "Bacterial small subunit ribosomal RNA", at positions 28 to 507 of the family's 1533-position model. The record is from RNAcentral.
GACGAACGCUGGCGGCGUGCCUAAUACAUGCAAGUUGAGCGAUGAAGCUUGGUGCUUGCACCAAUUUGAAGAGCAGCGAACGGGUGAGUAACGCGUGGGGAAUCUGCCUUUGAGCGGGGGACAACAUUUGGAAACGAAUGCUAAUACCGCAUAAUAACUUUAAACAUAAGUUUUAAGUUUGAAAGAUGCAAUUGCAUCACUCAAAGAUGAUCCCGCGUUGUAUUAGCUAGUUGGUGAGGUAAGGGCUCACCAAGGCGAUGAUACAUAGCCGACCUGAGAGGGUGAUCGGCCACAUUGGGACUGAGACACGGCCCAAACUCCUACGGGAGGCAGCAGGAGGGAAUCUUCGGCAAUGGACGAAAGUCUGACCGAGCAACGCCGCGGGAGGGAAGAAGGGUGUCGGAUCGUAAAACUCGGUUGGUAGAGAAGAACGUUGGUGAGAGUGGAAAGCUCAUCAAGUGACGGUAACUACACAGAAAGGGACGGCUAACUACGUG